Molecule: ribosomal RNA, 442 nt
Filed under: Escherichia coli
Lineage: Bacteria; Pseudomonadati; Pseudomonadota; Gammaproteobacteria; Enterobacterales; Enterobacteriaceae
Also listed under: 4 other names
Description: bacterial LSU rRNA
Rfam family: Bacterial large subunit ribosomal RNA
Source: RNAcentral
CGAAUGCUGACAUAAGUAACGAUAAAGCGGGUGAAAAGCCCGCUCGCCGGAAGACCAAGGGUUCCUGUCCAACGUUAAUCGGGGCAGGGUGAGUCGACCCCUAAGGCGAGGCCGAAAGGCGUAGUCGAUGGGAAACAGGUUAAUAUUCCUGUACUUGGUGUUACUGCGAAGGGGGGACGGAGAAGGCUAUGUUGGCCGGGCGACGGUUGUCCCGGUUUAAGCGUGUAGGCUGGUUUUCCAGGCAAAUCCGGAAAAUCAAGGCUGAGGCGUGAUGACGAGGCACUACGGUGCUGAAGCAACAAAUGCCCUGCUUCCAGGAAAAGCCUCUAAGCAUCAGGUAACAUCAAAUCGUACCCCAAACCGACACAGGUGGUCAGGUAGAGAAUACCAAGGCGCUUGAGAGAACUCGGGUGAAGGAACUAGGCAAAAUGGUGCCGUAACU